CAAUAGCGUAUAUUUAAGUUGUUGCAGUUAAAAAGCUCGUAGUUGGAUUUCGGUUGAGAGCGACCGGUCCGCCGUUUGGUGUGCACUGGUUGGUUUUAACUUCCUGUAGAGGACGUGCUCUGGGUUUAACGACCUGGACUCGGAGUCUACGUGGUUACUUUGAAAAAAUUAGAGUGUUCAAAGCGGGCUUACGCUUGAAUAUUUCAGCAUGGAAUAACACUAUAGGACUCCUGUCCUAUUUCGUUGGUCUCGGGACGGGAGUAAUGAUUAAGAGGAACAGUUGGGGGCAUUCGUAUUUCAUUGUCAGAGGUGAAAUUCUUGGAUUUAUGAAAGACGAACUUCUGCGAAAGCAUUUGCCAAGGAUGUUUUCAUUG
Molecule: ribosomal RNA, 374 nt
Filed under: uncultured eukaryote
Lineage: Eukaryota
Description: partial 18S ribosomal RNA
Rfam family: Eukaryotic small subunit ribosomal RNA
Source: RNAcentral